This 38-nucleotide ribosomal RNA is filed under the name Rosellinia australiensis. Its description in RNAcentral is "partial 18S ribosomal RNA". Lineage: Eukaryota; Fungi; Ascomycota; Sordariomycetes; Xylariales; Xylariaceae. The record is from RNAcentral.
CAAGGUCUCCCGUUGGUGAACCAGCGGAGGGAUCAUUA